CUACAAAUUGUCUGGAUUGCAGGUUUGUCAGCAAGUGUCUUACCUCACUGAUGCAAAGCCAGUAGCUCAAAUGUAGUUGCUCUGAAUGUGGAGGUGCAAACAGUGUUCUGAAAGUGCAUCUACGAGAAUCCCAGUAUUGAAGUACGACGGGAGUGCAUCCUGAAAGCAUUGUGCAUCUACUUGAAUGAAAAGUCUGACAGCCUUAUGAAGGAGUACUUGGAUUUUGAUCUUGCUUCAGGGAGAGAAGUGGAGAAAAUGGUUUUGGGCGUAAGUGCUAGUCUACAUCAUCCGACAUGAGGGAGCAGACUCUACAGAUGUACCUGAGGAUGUUGGCAUAGUCAUUGAGGGAUGCACAGUCCUGCAAGAUCUGGGAGAUGUGGCAAAUGGAUGUGCAGUCUUGCUUGGCUUGAUCUACUGUUUAAACUUGAGCUAUCCCAAGGACCUGCGAUACACGUUCGAAUUUUUUCAGAAAGUGUUGAUGGAACUGGAUGGGAGCAAGCUCUCCAAUAAAGUGCAGGUCCUCAAAAACAAACUGCUUGAGUAAAAUCACGUACAGUAGAUACGACUUCUUGGAGUUGGAGGACUUCUUGGACAUGGAGUUAGACUUCUGUUGACUCUUGAUUAGGCAGAGAUAUUGUCUUUGGAUUUUGGACUAAUGAUGGACAAAACAAUGUGAAACAUAUUUUGGUUGAUUUUGUAAUAUCUGCAAUGUUUCAAGUUUUCAGCUGUGAUGCAUGUUUGAAUUUCUUCAGAAAGUGAUGGGAGUUGGAUGGGAACAAGCUCUCUAAGGUGCAGGUCCUCAAAAGUGAAAAUGCAGUAAAAUCACCUGCAGUAGUCAAGACUGGGAAUGAAGUUAGACUAGUCUUUGGAUUUUGCACUAAUGGUGGAAAAAACAAUUGAUCUAUAGACUUUUUUUUCUCAAUAAUAAUUGCUGUUUCAGCUGUAAGCACAUGUAACUUUUGUUUUCUGAGCUGGACUCAAAAACAGUUUAAAAAGGACAGCCAAUUUUGAUAUUGUUGAAGCUAUCUCAAUGCUAAUG
Astyanax mexicanus (Mexican tetra) is the source of this 1039-nucleotide long non-coding RNA. RefSeq lists it as uncharacterized. The transcript has 4 exons. The record is from RefSeq and is a predicted model, not a curated record. NCBI's taxonomy places the organism in Eukaryota, Metazoa, Chordata, Actinopteri, Characiformes, Acestrorhamphidae.